AUUGAACGCUGGCGGCAGGCCUAACACAUGCAAGUCGAGCGGAUGAAGGGAGCUUGCUCCUGGAUUCAGCGGCGGACGGGUGAGUAAUGCCUAGGAAUCUGCCUGGUAGUGGGGUAUAACGUCCUGAAACGGGCGCUAAUACCGCAUACGUCCUUAGGGAGAAAGUGUGGGAUCUUCGGACCUCACGCUAUCAGAUGAGCCUAGGUCGGAUUAUCUAGUUGGUGGGGUAAAGGCCUACCAAGGCGACGAUCCGUAACUGGUCUGAGAGGAUGAUCAGUCACACUGGAACGAAGACACGGUCCAGAAUCCUACGGGAGGCAGCAGUGGGGAAGAUUGGAGAAUGGGCGAAAGCCUGAUCCAGCCAUGACGCGUGUGUGAAGAAGGUCUUCGGAUUGUAAAGCACUUUAAGUUGGGAGGAAGGGCAGUAAGUUAAUACCUUGCUGUUUUGACGUUACCAACAGAAUAAGCACCGGCUAACUUCGUG
This 484-nucleotide ribosomal RNA is filed under the name uncultured bacterium. Its description in RNAcentral is "partial 16S ribosomal RNA". It matches the Rfam family "Bacterial small subunit ribosomal RNA", at positions 30 to 507 of the family's 1533-position model. The record is from RNAcentral.